RNAcentral lists this long non-coding RNA (649 nucleotides) under Prunus dulcis (almond). Its description in RNAcentral is "sRNA ncRNA". The record is from RNAcentral. Lineage: Eukaryota; Viridiplantae; Streptophyta; Magnoliopsida; Rosales; Rosaceae.
AUUUUCUCAUGACUCAUAUCACUGCUCUGUUCUUCUGCUUGAACACACUAAAUUAGUUUUUUUUGCUUAUUUAUAUAAAUAUAUCCUAGUGCUCGUUUUCAUAUAACUCAUAUGCAUUCUAUCUCAUCCCCCCUACAACUUUUGCUGUUAAUUACGAUGAAGGUGUGUGCUGUUAAUUACGAUGAAGGUUGGUCUGUCUUCUUCAAUUGAGGUACAGUUCUAUUACAUAUCUUCACUGUUUUGUUUCCAAGAAACGAAGGUUUACCUUAAAAACUGAUUGGUGUUUAUGCAAUUUACUGAAACAGUUGUUCUAGGUUGGGUCCAUGUUUUGCAAAUCCAAAUGAUGGAAAUGUUGGGCUCCAAAUUAAGGCACAACUGCCUAUCUUUCUCCAACACCAUACUGUCCAAGCCUAACGCCACCAGUGAAGUCUGCAGAGAUUUUUCCCCCAAUGUACCAAAAAGAAGAAGAAAUUUGGACUUGCGCUCUAAAACUUCAAUGAAAGUUCACUUUUAUUUUGAUUAGAUUUGUUGUAAGGGUUGAUGUUUAUUUGCAGGGUCUUUUUGAUGCCAUUAUCUUUUUUGAGCAAAUGGGGAUAUUCAUCAGCUUCUCAAUAACCAAGUAAAUUCUUUUGUUACUCGAAUAUCUGCG